Molecule: ribosomal RNA, 497 nt
Filed under: uncultured bacterium
Lineage: Bacteria
Description: partial 16S ribosomal RNA
Rfam family: Bacterial small subunit ribosomal RNA
Source: RNAcentral
GACGAACGCUGGCGGCGUGCCUAAUACAUGCAAGUCGAGCGAACAGACGAGGAGCUUGCUCCUCUGACGUUAGCGGCGGACGGGUGUGUAACAUGUGGAUAACCUACCUAUAAGACUGGGAAAUCCUCGGGAAACCGGAGCAAAUAGCGGAUAAUAUACUGAACCGCAUGGUUCAAUAGUGAAAGACGGUUUUGCUGUCACUUAUAGAUGGAUCCGCGCCGCAUUGGCUGGUUGGUAAGGUAACGGCUUAUCAAGGCAACGAUGCGUAGCCGACCUGAGAGGGUGAUCGGCCGCACGGGAGGUGGGACGCGGACCAGGCUCCUACGGGGGGGAGCAGUAGGGAAUCUGCCGCAAUGGGCGGGAGCCUGACGGAGCGACGCCGGGUGAGUGGUGGGGGUCGUCGGAGCGUGAAACUCUGUUGUGAGGGGAGAACAGGUGUGUAAGUGACUAUGCACGUCGUGACGGUACCGAAUCAGAAAGCCACGGCUAACUACGUG